Molecule: ribosomal RNA, 253 nt
Filed under: uncultured bacterium
Lineage: Bacteria
Description: partial 16S ribosomal RNA
Rfam family: Bacterial small subunit ribosomal RNA
Source: RNAcentral
UACGGAGGAUCCGAGCGUUAUCCGGAUUUAUUGGGUUUAAAGGGUGCGUAGGCGGUUUGAUAAGUUAGAGGUGAAAUGUCGGGGCUCAACCCCGAAACUGCCUCUAAUACCGUUGGACUAGAGAAUAGUUGCGGUAGGCGGAAUGUAUGGUGUAGCGGUGAAAUGCUUAGAGAUCAUACAGAACACCGAUUGCGAAGGCAGCUUACCAAACUAUAUCUGACGUUGAGGCACGAAAGCGUGGGUAGCAAACAGG